UCCGGUUGAUCGCGCCGGAGGAUACUGCUAUUCGAGUUCGACUAAGACAUGCGAGUCGAGAGUCUUCGGGACUCGACGAACUGCUCAGUAAUAUGUAGUCAAUCUAACCUAUACUCAGGGAUAAUCUCGGGAAACUGAGGCUAAUACCUGAUGGGUUUUCUGUUCUGGAGUGAUAGAAAAUCGAAAGGUUACAGUAUAGGAUGGGACUACAUCCUAUCAGCCUGUUGGAGGUGUAAUGAACUUCCAAAGCUAUAACGGGUACGGGCCAUGAGAGUGGAAGCCCGGAGAUGGAUUCUGAGACAUGAAUCCAGGUCCUACGGGACGCAGCAGUUACGAAAACUUCGCAAUGCUCUAACGAGUGACGAGGGGACUCGGAGUGUUCAUGCUUUGCAUGAACUUUUGUUCACUUCAAACAGGUGGACGAAUAAGAGGUGGGUAAUACGAGUGCCAGCCGCCGCGGUAAUACUCGAGCCUCGAGUGGUAUCCACUAUUAGUUGGUUUAAAGCGUCCGUAGCCGGUUUGGUAAGUUCCUAGUGAAAUCCUUUGGCAAACUAAAGGGCUUGCUGGAAAUACUACCAGACUUGGGACUGGGAGAGGGUAGAGGUACUCCCGGGGGAGGGGUAAAAUCCUAUAAUCCUGGGGGGACCACCUGUGGCGAAGGCUUCUAUCUAGAACAGGUUCGACGGUGAGGGACGAAACCUAGGGGAGCGAUCGGGAUUAGAUACCCCGGUAGUCCUAGGCGUAAACGAUGCCCGUUUGGUGUUACAAACCUUUCGAGGGUCUGUAGUGCCGGAGCGAAAGUGUUAAACGGGCCACCUGGGGAGUACGUCCGCAAGGAUGAAACUUAAGCGAGUUGGCGGGGGAGCACACAAGGGGUGGAGGCUGCGGUUCAAUUGGAUCCAACGCCGGACAUCUCACGGGAAUCGACAGCAGAAUGAAGGUCAGUCUAAAGGGCUUACCAGACAAGCUGAGAGGAGGUGCAUGGCCAUCGUCAGCUCGUACCGUGAGGCGUGCGGUUAAGUCCGUUAACGAGCGAGACCCGUAUCCUAUGUUGCAACCUGGCAACAGGGCACUCAUAGGAGACCGCUAGUGAUAAACUAGAGGAAGGCACGGGCGACGGUAGGUCCGUAUGCCCCGAAUUUUCCCGGCUACACGCGGCCUACAAUGCAUGAGACAAUGAGAUGCAACACCGAAAGGUGAAGCCAACCCCUUAACCUCAUGCUCAGUUCGGAUCGAGGGUUGUAACUCACCCUCGUGAAGCUGGAAUCCCUAGUAGGCAAAAGUCACUAUCUUUUGUCGAAUAUGUCCCCGCUCCUUGCACACACCGCCCGUCAAGCCAUCCGAGUGGAGUUUAAACGAGGCUCUUUCUCUAUGGAAGAGUCGAGUUUUGAUUCCGCGAGGGGGGCUAAGUCGCAACAAGGUA
RNAcentral lists this ribosomal RNA (1423 nucleotides) under metagenome. Its description in RNAcentral is "bacterial SSU rRNA". It matches the Rfam family "Archaeal small subunit ribosomal RNA". The record is from RNAcentral.